Molecule: ribosomal RNA, 476 nt
Filed under: uncultured bacterium
Lineage: Bacteria
Description: bacterial SSU rRNA
Rfam family: Bacterial small subunit ribosomal RNA
Source: RNAcentral
UGGGGAAUCUUGGACAAUGGGGGCAACCCUGAUCCAGCCAUGCCGCGUGAGUGAUGAAGGCCUUAGGGUCGUAAAGCUCUUUCGCCUGUGAAGAUAAUGACGGUAGCAGGUAAAGAAACCCCGGCUAACUCCGUGCCAGCAGCCGCGGUAAUACGGAGGGGGUUAGCGUUGUUCGGAAUUACUGGGCGUAAAGCGCACGUAGGCGGACCAGAAAGUUGGGGGUGAAAUCCCGGGGGCUCAACCCCGGAACUGCCUCCAAAACUAUUGGUCUAGAGUUCGAGAGAGGUGAGUGGAAUUCCAAGUGUAGAGGUGAAAUUCGUAGAUAUUUGGAGGAACACCAGUGGCGAAGGCGGCUCACUGGCUCGAUACUGACGCUGAGGUGCGAAAGUGUGGGGAGCAAACAGGAUUAGAUACCCUGGUAGUCCACACCGUAAAACGAUGAAUGCCAGUCGUCGGGUAGCAUGCUAUUCGGUGAC